RNAcentral lists this ribosomal RNA (524 nucleotides) under uncultured bacterium. RNAcentral describes it as "partial 16S ribosomal RNA". It matches the Rfam family "Bacterial small subunit ribosomal RNA", at positions 28 to 523 of the family's 1533-position model. The record is from RNAcentral.
GACGAACGCUGGCGGCGUGCCUAAUACAUGCAAGUCGAACGAAGCUGUUUUAACUGGUGCUUGCACCGACUUAAACAACUGAGUGGCGAACGGGUGAGUAACACGUGGGUAACCUGCCCCAAAGCGGGGGAUAACAUUUGGAAACAGAUGCUAAUACCGCAUAACCACAGAAACCACAUGGUUUCUGUGUCAAAGAUGGUUUCGGCUAUCACUUUGGGAUGGACCCGCGGCGUAUUAGCUAGUUGGUAAGGUAAUGGCUUACCAAGGCAAUGAUACGUAGCCGAACUGAGAGGCUGAUCGGCCACAUUGGGACUGAGACACGGCCCAAACUCCUACGGGAGGCAGCAGUAGGGAAUCUUCCACGAUGGACGAAAGUCUGAUGGAGCAACGCCGCGUGAGUGAAGAAGGUUUUCGGAUCGUAAAACUCUGUUGUCAGAGAAGAACGUGUGCGAGAGUAACUGCUCGUGCAGUGACGGUAUCUGGCCAGAAAGCCACGGCUAACUACGUGCCAGCAGCCGCCGCCG